This 416-nucleotide long non-coding RNA is filed under the name Medicago truncatula (barrel medic). RNAcentral's name for it is "long non-coding RNA (MTRU_LNC001384)". Lineage: Eukaryota; Viridiplantae; Streptophyta; Magnoliopsida; Fabales; Fabaceae. The record is from RNAcentral.
UGAUUUGUGUUGAGGUAGAGAACACAUGGAAGACCUUUACAAUGUGAUGAUUAUUUGAACAACUAUCAAGUUGGAGCAUUAAAUUCUUAUGUGAUCAUUAUGAUCCAUUAGGUGUAGCGCAUAAGGUCACGCGCGAGGCAUAUGGCUUCAACUAGAACUUUCAUUCUCUCUAUCAUCAGUAAGCACGAAGCGUGUGAAGGAAUUCUUGGGGAGCACGAGAACCAAGAGAAAUUCCUUCUUUCAUGGACUUGAUGUUGAGUUCCUUGUAUUCGUUCACUUUUCGUUGACUUUAACUUUUGAUGUGUGCUUGGGACUUGGGACAAAAUUUACCUAAGUUGCAUAGACUUCAAAUACCUCAUUGUGCUUGGUCUUCAUGCUUUCAUAACUUAUACCAAACAUCUUCUGAUCAGAUCAAC